AUGUGGGGUAGAGGCGCAAAAUUUAACAGUCUUUAGUGGAGCUUGAGAAGGUGAUGAAACUAUGGAGAAGGAAAUUUUGCCGAAGCUUGUAAUAUUUCUCAGUGUUACUUGCUGGGUCUGCAAUUAAGAGUUGCAGGACUGUCUUAAUAAACUUCCCGGUUUAUUAAGUUGUGCUAUCUCAAAU
Molecule: regulatory RNA element, 184 nt
Organism: Clostridium sp. 7_2_43FAA
Lineage: Bacteria; Bacillati; Bacillota; Clostridia; Eubacteriales; Clostridiaceae
Rfam family: Lysine riboswitch aptamer
About the family: Riboswitches are metabolite binding domains within certain messenger RNAs that serve as precision sensors for their corresponding targets.
Source: Rfam